Molecule: non-coding RNA, 511 nt
Organism: Paramormyrops kingsleyae
Lineage: Eukaryota; Metazoa; Chordata; Actinopteri; Osteoglossiformes; Mormyridae
Source: RefSeq, a predicted model, not a curated record
GAGUGGAAUUGGACAAGCAUUGAUCUAUAUAAGGCCACUGCAGAAAAGUCUUGCUUUGGACGACAGCCUGACAACUCUCCAGCAACAAGGACCACUCACAAAAUGCCUGAAUUGUGACACUAACAUUCCUUUAAAUAAAAUGAAAAACCACAUCACUGAAUGCACAAGUCAGGUGAGGCAGACCCGUAGUUCCACAGCAGAGGUCCCAUCCUGUAACAAUAGUGAUGCCUUGAAGCUGUCCAGCGGGGUAGAGGAACCAGAUGUUAUCAUAUUGGACUCCACCAUAGUCUCAGCAAGAGCAGAGCAAUUGUCAGUUGAAAUGGGAGUGCAGAAACAUGCAGCAUCUCAUCAAGAUGAAGAAAAGUCACUUGUAGGGGAAAAACCAGGUAGUCCAUAGCACAGGAAUAAAGUUAGGAAAAUACCAGACAAAUGGCAAUGAAUUACAUAUUCAACUAGGAUUAAAUCUAUUUCGCUUGAUUUAUGUGAUCCAUGCAAAUGGGUCUUUCAGAGU